Long non-coding RNA from Astatotilapia calliptera (eastern happy), 331 nucleotides. The record is from Ensembl. NCBI's taxonomy places the organism in Eukaryota, Metazoa, Chordata, Actinopteri, Cichliformes, Cichlidae.
GACGGGUGACUGCAGCAGUGCAAUGAACAAGACCAGAAGAGGCAAUCCCCCACCCACGGCAGCUUUGUAUCUUCCUGUACACUUACGAAGGUACUCCUGAUAAGACGCUGAGGGUGAUGCACCUCUUAGACCAGUCGGAGCCCCCACCCACCUGUUCCCUUACGCUGACGAAGAGAGAAAACAGACGAGAGGGGUUUUCUCUUUCACUCUCACUUCCUCUCUUCUGGUUGCCGUAGAUUGUUGUAAAGAUUGUGUGUAUGGAGAGAACUUGUGCACUACCACUGACGGGGCAGAAAGACUGAGGUAGCAUGAACAUGGACAUACUGACUAA